CCUACGAGAGGCAGCAGUGAGGAAUAUUGGUCAAUGGGCGCGAGCCUGAACCAGCCAAGUAGCGUGAAGGAUGACUGCCCUACGGGUUGUAAACUUCUUUUAUAAAGGAAUAAAGUCAGGCACGUGUGCCUUUUUGUAUGUACUUUAUGAAUAAGGAUCGGCUAACUCCGUGCCAGCAGCCGCGGUAAUACGGUGGAUACGAGCGUUAUCCGGAUUUAUUGGGUUUAAAGGGAGCGUAGAUGGGUUGUUAAGUCAGUUGUGAAAGUUUGAGGCUCAACCGUAAAAUUGCAAUUGAUACUGGCAGCCUUGAGUACAGUUGAGGGAUGCGGAAUUCGUGGUGUAGCGGUGAAAUGCGUAGAUAUCACGAAGAACUCCGAUUGCGAAGGCAGCCUACUAAACUGCCACUGACAUUGAUGCUCGAAAGUGUGGGUAUCAAACAGGAUUAGAUACCCGAGUAGUC
RNAcentral lists this ribosomal RNA (460 nucleotides) under uncultured bacterium. RNAcentral's name for it is "partial 16S ribosomal RNA". It matches the Rfam family "Bacterial small subunit ribosomal RNA", at positions 338 to 795 of the family's 1533-position model. The record is from RNAcentral.